AUUGAACGCUGGCGGCAGGCCUAACACAUGCAAGUCGAACGAGUGGCGGACGGGUGAGUAAUGUCUGGGGAACUGCCCGAUGGAGGGGGAUAACUACUGGAAACGGUGGCUAAUACCGCAUACCAUCGGAUGUGCCCAUAUGGGAUUAGCUUGUAGGUAAGGUAAUGGCUUACCUAGGCGACGAUCCCUAGCUGGUCUGAGAGGAUGAUCAGCCACACUGGAACUGAGACACGGCCCAGACUCCUACGGGAGGCAGCAGUGGGGAAUAUUGCACAAUGGGCGCAAGCCUGAUGCAGCCAUGCCGCGUGUAUGAAGAAGGCCUUAGGGUUGUAAAGUACUUUCAGUGGGGAGGCGUUACCCGCAGAAGAAGCACCGGCUAACUCCGUGCCAGCAGCCGCGGUAAUUC
RNAcentral lists this ribosomal RNA (406 nucleotides) under uncultured bacterium. RNAcentral's name for it is "partial 16S ribosomal RNA". It matches the Rfam family "Bacterial small subunit ribosomal RNA", at positions 30 to 526 of the family's 1533-position model. The record is from RNAcentral.